AUUGAACGCUGGCGGCAGGCCUAACACAUGCAAGUCGAACGGUAACAGGAAGCAGCUUGCUGCUUUGCUGACGAGUGGCGGACGGGUGAGUAAUGUCUGGGAAACUGCCCGAUGGAGGGGGAUAACUACUGGAAACGGUAGCUAAUACCGCAUAACGUCGCAAGACCAAAGAGGAGGACCUUAGGGCCUCUUGCCAUCGGAUGUGCCCAGAUGGGAUUAGCUAGUAGGUGGGGUAACGGCUCACCUAGGCGACGAUCCCUAGCUGGUCUGAGAGGAUGACCAGCCACACUGGAACUGAGACACGGUCCAGACUCCUACGGGAGGCAGCAGUGGGGAAUAUUGCACAAUGGGCGCAAGCCUGAUGCAGCCAUGCCGCGUGUAUGAAGAAGGCCUUCGGGUUGUAAAGUACUUUCAGCGGGGAGGAAGGGAGUAAAGUUAAUACCUUUGCUCAUUGACGUUACCCGCAGAAGAAGCACCGGCUAACUCCGUG
RNAcentral lists this ribosomal RNA (490 nucleotides) under uncultured bacterium. RNAcentral describes it as "partial 16S ribosomal RNA". It matches the Rfam family "Bacterial small subunit ribosomal RNA", at positions 30 to 507 of the family's 1533-position model. The record is from RNAcentral.